CGCGUCCCGGCGUCCGUGGCCGCGCGGGUCGGCCAAGGACCCGCGCUUGGGUGCGCCUCUUGGGCCGGGAGCCUCCGGCCGCGGAGGGGGCGAGCAAGAGAUUAAAAAUAGCAGAGUGCUUUGAAAUAGGACUUUCCCAGUGGCACGCUCCAAAGCGGUGACCCCGGGGGACAGUGGGCGGCGGCGGGGUGGGCUGCAGAGGAACAGCAGGCGGGGACCCUAUCCUGGGCCCGGGUCCGGUGCCCCCUCUCCCCGUCCCCGCCCUGCACCAGCCACUUGUUGCCGUGCCAAAGCCUGGGGACUGAAACUGCCACUUGGAUCCACAUAAGAGGAUUAAAACAAAAAGAGUAAUGAAGUUCCUGGCAGUGGCCUGUCCGUGUUGGCAGCGUCGCCCUGCCUGCAGCAGGUAGAGAAAACAGGCACCAUCCGUGGCUCUUCGCAGGCCCCAAGUCUUAGCCCCGAGACGCCAAGGCAGAGCAAAGGCAGGAAUUGGGUCAAAGGAAAAAAGGCAGCUUAGUGGUUGGUUUUAAUUACUGUAAAUGGAAAAACCACAUCCAAAAGUGCAUCUAAUGACUUUUACGGUAAUCCCACCAUGUUGACAUGAACCAGCCCACCCCUGCGCGCAGAGAAGACCACAACACAAAGUGCCAGAGGUCCAUCCCAGGACGCGGACAAAGGCAGGACCAUCAGAGGCAGACGUGGUUUCCAGCAGUGGCUCAGACUUCGGGCUCAUUCAGGGUCAGGCUACCCCAGAGGGCAAUUGAACAUCUGCCCAGCAGCUUAUGGACAGGAUGCACUUCCCUCUGUCAGGAACAGAGAUCAGUGGUGCCAGCUGCCACUGGGAACCUUGCCUGGUGCCCAAACACCCUGGGGAUUUGCCAGGGCAGCGUCGAGAAGGUGAUCCGCUCUGAGUCAUAUUUUCUUCUUUUAUUGCACCCUUGCCAGCCGAGUUCAUUGAUUCACUCAAUAAACAGGCCUUGCGCACUUGGUGUGGAAAUGAAUCGGCUGUACUUGAUGGUCCCGUUUAUGCAAAUCUGAUCCAGUAAUUGAUUCGGAAGCGUAUCAUACUCGAGUGCUUGACCAGGAAAGGGUUCUGAAGACGGUAUGAGAAUGCAACAAAUAUCUGUGCAGCUCCGAGAGCCGGGCCUUUCUUUGUUUAGGUUCUGGGCACAUCAACAUUGCAGCAGGGAACUUGCACGAUGCAACGGACUCAUGAAGACAGGAAAUGAGACGGGGCCACAUGUUUCCAUGGUCCGAGAGUAUGUCUCCCACCCCACACCAGUUGACUGUUGCUUCUCUUAUUCUGCUCCCUCGACCUCCUGCCUUUCGGUCGUUGGUUCUUUUGGGGACUCCUUUGAUCAUGGAGCAGUUCAGGUCACCCACAUGUUUAAUAUUGUUAAAUAACGUGACGUGAUGGGAAAAGUCACGGGCUGGGACUAAAACACCGUAUGGUUCUAGCCCCGGCUUUGCUACCCGAUGAAAUUCGUCGCUUUCGACAAAUCUCUCAGGAACUGAAUCUCGGUUCCCUCCUCCCCAGAAUAAGGUUGAUUCGCGCUCUGCAGCAACCACGGCGGGAAAGAUCCAAGGCCUCAGUUUUCUCAUCUGUAAAGUAAGGGGUUUGACCUAGAUUUAAUGUUUGCAAACUGUCUUUAGAAGUGGAGUCCCUCUUUACAAUACAAUCUAACAUGAAAUCCCCACGUUUGGUAAAACAGGUGAAGAUAGGCUUGCCCUUGCGCCCCUGGGUCGCGCGUAUUUCUUCCUGUAUCCCACAGAAGGCCCUCGAGGCACGGCGGGUUCCACCGGACACGGUGUGAAACUCACCGUGCUAGAUGAUUACUCCAAAGUACCCCCCAGUUCUGGGGCGCCUGGGUGGCGCAGUCGGUUAAGCAUCUGACUCUUGAUGUGGCGCAGGUCAUGAUCUCACCGUUUGUAAGUUCGAGCCCCACAUCGGGCUGUGCGCUGAGGACAAGGAGCCUCCAUGGGAUUCUGUCUCUCCUCCUCUGCUCCUCCCCCCGCUUGUGCUCUUUCUCUCUCUCUCAAAGUAAAUAAACUUACAAUAAAAAAAAUAAUAGGGGCGCCU
RNAcentral lists this long non-coding RNA (2080 nucleotides) under Felis catus (domestic cat). Its description in RNAcentral is "lncRNA (ENSFCAG00000052297.1)". Lineage: Eukaryota; Metazoa; Chordata; Mammalia; Carnivora; Felidae. The record is from RNAcentral.